GAAAUGCGAUAAGUAGUGUGAAUUGCAGAAUUCAGUGAAUCAUCGAAUCUUUGAACGCACAUUGCGCCCCUUGGUAUUCCAUGGGGCAUGCCUGUUCGAGCGUCAUUUGCACCCUCAAGCUCUGCUUGGUGUUGGGUGUUUGUCCCCGUCUCCGCGCGUGGACUCGCCCCAAAGUGAUUGGCAGCCGGCGUACUGGUCCCGGAGCGCAGCACAUGUCGCGCAAACGAGUGCCUUGGUACGGCGGCGUCCAUAAGCCCCUCUCUCACGCUCUUGACCUCGGAUCAGGUAGGUAUACCCGCUGAACUUAAGC
Molecule: unclassified non-coding RNA, 310 nt
Filed under: plant metagenome
Description: partial contains 5.8S ribosomal RNA, internal transcribed spacer 2, and large subunit ribosomal RNA
Rfam family: 5.8S ribosomal RNA (bases 1-105)
Source: RNAcentral